RNAcentral lists this long non-coding RNA (233 nucleotides) under Setaria viridis. Its description in RNAcentral is "long non-coding RNA (SVIR_LNC001917)". The record is from RNAcentral. Lineage: Eukaryota; Viridiplantae; Streptophyta; Magnoliopsida; Poales; Poaceae.
UCCCUCGUCCGCUUCGGGAGCUUGGAUUUCCUCACCAUGGGGGAGGGAAUCGAGCUGAUCCCUCUUCUUGUCCUGCCCGCUCGCCCCGUCGUCCCCGGCUCUGCCGCCGGGAUAGUGGUGAGCGGCCGGGCGCGCGCCACGAGGCCCCCUUCGGAGGAGUGGCCCUUCAGGCUACGCAAUGCUGCGGUGACCCAUGGUCGCCUCCUGGCACGGUUCAUGACCGUGCCACCCAC